Oryza rufipogon (brownbeard rice) is the source of this 205-nucleotide microRNA precursor. It matches the Rfam family "MIR812 microRNA precursor family". The record is from Rfam. NCBI's taxonomy places the organism in Eukaryota, Viridiplantae, Streptophyta, Magnoliopsida, Poales, Poaceae.
AAAAAGUCAAACCCUGGGUUUUCGUGUCCAACUUUGACUGUCCGUCUUAUAUGAAUUUUUUUUAUAAUUUGUAUUUUUGUUGUUGUUAGAUGAUAAAACAUGAUUAAUAUUUUAUACGUGACUUGUCCUUUUAUUUUUUUUCAUAAUUUUUUCAAAUAAGACGGACGGUCAAAUGUUGGACACGGAAACCAGGGUUUGUCUUUUU